UUUGACCUCAAAUCACGUAGGACUACCCGCUGAACUUAAGCAUAUCAAUAAGCGGAGGA
RNAcentral lists this ribosomal RNA (59 nucleotides) under Candida albicans. RNAcentral's name for it is "partial 28S ribosomal RNA". It matches the Rfam family "Eukaryotic large subunit ribosomal RNA", at positions 1 to 57 of the family's 3401-position model. Lineage: Eukaryota; Fungi; Ascomycota; Pichiomycetes; Serinales; Debaryomycetaceae. The record is from RNAcentral.